This 1615-nucleotide ribosomal RNA is filed under the name Tragopan temminckii. RNAcentral describes it as "16S ribosomal RNA". It matches the Rfam family "Bacterial large subunit ribosomal RNA". The record is from RNAcentral. Lineage: Eukaryota; Metazoa; Chordata; Aves; Galliformes; Phasianidae.
CUUGCCCUCCCUCUAGCCCAACCACCCACAACCCCUGACCAUUAAAAACCCACUGUUAACACUAACCAAAACAUUCUAACCCGCUCCCAGUAUAGGCGAUAGAAAAGAGCCUCCUCCGGCGCAAUAGAGACCAACGUACCGUAAGGGAAAGAUGAAAUAAUAAUGAAAACUGUAAGCAAAAAGCAGUAAAGACCAACCCUUGUACCUCUUGCAUCAUGAUUUAGCAAGAACAAUCAAGCAAAGAGAACUAAAGUUUGCCUCCCCGAAACCCAAGCGAGCUACCUGCGAGCAGCUAAAACUGAGCGAACCCAUCUCUGUCGCAAAAGAGUGGGAUGACUCGCUGGUAGAGGUGAAAAGCCAACCGAGCUGGGUGAUAGCUGGUUACCUGCCAAAUGAAUUUAAGUUCCCCCUUAACUCAUCCUUCAAGGACAUUCCCCCUAACCCGCCCAUGUCAGAGUUAAGAGUAACUCGAUGGGGGUACAGCUCCAUCGAAAAAGAACACAACCUCCUCCAGCGGAUAAUAUACACACUAUCCCCAUUGUAGGCCUUAAAGCAGCCACCAACAAAAGAAUGCGUCAAAGCUCUAUUAUUAAAAAUCCACAAAUCCAUUUGACUCCCUCACCCCAAGCAGGUCAACCUAUGAAAAUAGAAGAAUUAAUGCUAAAAUGAGUAACUCGGAGCCCUCCUCCACACAGCGUAAACUUACAUCAUCACAUUAUUAACAGACCCUAACUUAUAUCCUCACUCCUACAAGAACAUGUAUAUCAAUCCGAUCUGUUAAGCCAACUCAGGAACGCCCACAUAGACGAUUAAAACCGGCAAAAGGAACUCGGCAAACUAAAGACCCGACUGUUUACCAAAAACAUAGCCUUCAGCAAACAACAAGUAUUGAAGGUGAUGCCUGCCCAGUGACCCUCAAAGUUCAACGGCCGCGGUAUCCUAACCGUGCGAAGGUAGCGCAAUCAAUUGUCCCAUAAAUUGAGACUUGUAUGAAUGGCUAAACGAGGUCUUAACUGUCUCUUGCUGGUAAUCAGUGAAAUUAGUAUUCCCGUGCAAAAACGAGAAUGUGACCAUAAGACGAGAAGACCCUGUGGAACUUAAAAAUAACGACCACCCCUACACAAACCUCGCCCACCGGGCCCACUCACACUAAAUACCUGGUCGACAUUUUUCGGUUGGGGCGACCUUGGAGAAAAAUAAAUCCUCCAAACCCACAGACCACAACUCUUCACCAAGAUCAACUUAUCAAAGUACUAAUAGUAAUUAGACCCAAUACAAUUGACCAAUGAACCAAGCUACCCCAGGGAUAACAGCGCAAUCUCCUCCAAGAGCCCGUAUCGACAAGGAGGUUUACGACCUCGAUGUUGGAUCAGGACAUCCUAAUGGUGCAGCCGCUAUUAAGGGUUCGUUUGUUCAACGAUUAAUAGUCCUACGUGAUCUGAGUUCAGACCGGAGCAAUCCAGGUCGGUUUCUAUCUAUGAGCAGACUCCUCCCAGUACGAAAGGACCGGAGAAGUGGGGUCAAUACCAUGAAGCACACCCCAGUCUAAUAAGUAAUGAAUCCAACUCAAUUACCAAAAGCCCCUAUACACACCUAAUUCCUAGAAAAGGAACAG